RNAcentral lists this ribosomal RNA (495 nucleotides) under uncultured bacterium. Its description in RNAcentral is "partial 16S ribosomal RNA". It matches the Rfam family "Bacterial small subunit ribosomal RNA", at positions 29 to 506 of the family's 1533-position model. The record is from RNAcentral.
AUGAACGCUGGCGGCGUGCCUCAUACAUGCAAGUCGAGCGAACAGACGAGGAGCUUGCUCCUCUGACGUUAGCGGCGGACGGGUGAGUAACACGUGGAUAACCUACCUAUAAGACUGGGAUAACUUCGGGAAACCGGAGCUAAUACCGGAUAAUAUAUUGAACCGCAUGGUUCAAUAGUGAAAGACGGUUUUGCUGUCACUUAUAGAUGGAUCCGCGCCGCAUUAGCUAGUUGGUAAGGUAACGGCUUACCAAGGCAACGAUGCGUAGCCGACCUGAGAGGGUGAUCGCCCACACUGGAACUGAGACACGGUCCAGACUCCGACGGGAGGCAGCAGUAGGGAAUCUUCCGCAAUGGGCGAAAGCCUGACGGAGCAACGCCGCGUGAGUGAUGAAGGUCUUCGGAUCGUAAAACUCUGUUAUUAGGGAAGAACAAAUGUGUAAGUAACUAUGCACGUCUUGACGGUACCUAAUCAGAAAGCCACGGCUAACUACGU